RNAcentral lists this ribosomal RNA (270 nucleotides) under uncultured archaeon. RNAcentral's name for it is "partial 16S ribosomal RNA". It matches the Rfam family "Archaeal small subunit ribosomal RNA", at positions 477 to 747 of the family's 1478-position model. The record is from RNAcentral.
CAGCCCCUCGAGUGGUGGGGAUGAUUAUUUGGCCUAAAGCGUCCGUAGCCGGCCGUGUAAGUCCCCCGUUAAAUCCAGCGUCUCAAGCGUUGGACUGCGGGAGAUACUGCUCGGCUAGAGAGUGGGAGAGGUGUGCGGUAUUCUGGGGGUAGGGGCGAAAUCCUUUGAUGCCCGGAGGACCACCAGUGGCGAAGGCUGCACACUAGAACACGUCUGACGGUCAGGGACGAAAGCUGGGGUAGCGAACCGGAUUAGAGACCCGAGUAGUCC